Long non-coding RNA from Phasianus colchicus (ring-necked pheasant), 4172 nucleotides. The record is from Ensembl. NCBI's taxonomy places the organism in Eukaryota, Metazoa, Chordata, Aves, Galliformes, Phasianidae.
GGGGGGGAAUCAGCCCCAAAUUGGGGGAAACAGGGGGAAUUAGGGGGGAAAUCAGCCCCAAAUUGGGGGAAAUGUGGCAAAAAUGGGGCAAAAAUGGGGAGAAAUGGGGGGAAAUCAGCCCGAAAUUGGGGGAAAUGGGGGGAAAUGGGGGGAAAUCAGCCCCAAAUGGGGGGAAAUGGGGAGAAAUGGGCGGAAAUCAGCCCCAAAUUGGGGGAAAUGGGGGGAAAUCAGCCCCAAAUUGGGGGAAAUGGGGCAAAAAAUGGGGGAAAUGGGCCUCAAAAGUGGGAAAUUCAACCCCAAAUUGACCCAAAUGAGAAGAAAUUAGGAAGAAAUUGGGGGAAAUGGGGCACAAACGGGGAAAAUCCGCCCCAAAUUGAAGGAAAUGAGCCCAAAAUGGGGGAAAUCGGCCCCAAGGUGGGGGAAAUGGGGCAAAAAUGGGGGAAAUGGGGCAAAAAUGGGGGAAAUGGGGGAAGUGGGGCAAAAAUGGGGGAAGUGGGGAAAAAAUGGGGAGAAUUCAGCCCCAAAUGGACCCAAAUUGGGGGAAAUGGGGCAAAAAUGGGGGAAAUCAGCCCCAAAUGGACCCAAAAAGGGGGAAAUUGGGAACAAAUGGGGGGAAAUGGGGCAAAAAUGGGGGAAAUGGGGCAAAAAUGGGGGAAAUGGGGCAAAAAUGGGAAGAAUUCAGCCCCAAAUUGGGGGAAAUUGCGAAGAAAUGGGGGGAAAUGGGGCAAAAAUGGGGGAAAUCAGCCCCAAAUUUGGGGGAAAUGGGGCAAAAAUGGCCCCCAGUUGGCCCAAAUCUAUGGGGCACCCCACACAUCUAUGGGUCACACCCCAGAUCUAUGGGUCACCCCAGACCCCAAUCUAUGGGUCCCCCCACAUCUAUGGGUCACCCUCACCCCCCAGAUCCCAAUCUAUGGGUCACCCCACACCCUAUGGGUCACCCUCACCCCCCAGACCCCAAUCUAUGGGUCACCCCACAUCUAUGGGUCACCCCCCACCCAAUCUAUGGGUCACACCCCCCCCCCCAAGACCCCGAUCUAUGGGUCACCCCCCCCCCCACAGAUCCCCCCCCCACUUGUGGGGCUCACCAGCUCCGGGUGUCAGCGUGGGGCCGGGCACCCACUGGUGGCAGCCCAGGUGGUAGAAGAAAAUCCCGUCCCCGUAGCACCGCUCCUGCUGGUAGUGCUGGUGGACGCUGCCCCCUGCGCCCCACAAGUGUGGGGUGGGGUGGGAACGUGUGGGGCGGGGGCACAACGGGGGGGGUGGGAGCCCAAACGAUGGGGCUGGGACCCCAAAGUGGGGGCUGGGAACCCAGAGGUGGGGUGGGGGCACAAAGUGGGGGUGGGAUCCAAAUUAUGGGGCUGGGACCCACAUCUGUGGGGCCGGGAGCCCAAUCUAUGGGGCUGGGACCCACAUUUAUGGGGCUGGGACCCCAAAGUGGGGGCUGGGAGCCCAGAGUGGGGGGUGGGAGCACAAAGUGGGGGGUGGGACCCACAUCUAUGGGGCUGGGAGCCCAAAGUGGGGGGUGGGACCCAAACUAUGGGGCUGGGACCCACAUCUAUGGGGCUGGGAACCCAGAGGUGGGGUGGGGGCACAACAUGGGGGGUGGGAGCCAAUCUAUGGGGCUGGGAGGCCAAAAUGGGGGAUGGGAUCCAAACUAUGGGGCUGGGAGCCCAGAGUGGGGGGUGGGACCCACAUCUAUGGGGCUGGGAGCCCAGAGUGGGGGGUGGGACCCACAUCUAUGGGGCUGGGACCCACAUCUAUGGGGCUGGGACCCCAAAGUGGGGGCUGGGAACCCAGAGGUGGGGUGGGGGCACAACGUGGGGGGUGGGAUCCAAAUUAUGGGGCUGGGACCCACAUCUAUGGGGCUGGAAGCCCAAUCUAUGGGGCUGGGACCCACAUCUAUGGGGCUGGGACCCCAAAGUGGGGGCUGGGAGCCCAGAGUGGGGGGUGGGACCCACAUCUAUGGGGCUGGGAGCCCAGAGUGGGGGGUGGGAGCACAAAGUGGGGGCUGGGAGCCAAUCUAUGGGGCUGGGAGCCCAAAGUGGGGGGUGGGACCCAAACUAUGGGGCUGGGAGCCCAGAGUGGGGGGUGGGAGCCCAAAGUGCGGGCUGGGACCCACAUCUAUGGGGCUGGGACCCCAAUCUAUGGGGCUGGGAGCCCAGAGGUGGGGUGGGGGCACAACGUGGGGGGUGGGACCCAAUCUAUGGGGCUGGGAGCCAAUCUAUGGGGCUGGGACCCCAAAGUGGGGGGUGGGACCCACAUCUAUGGGGCUGGGACCCCAAAGUGGGGGGGGGGGAAGGGACCCCAAAGUGGAGGGUGGGACCCACAUCUAUGGGGCUGGGAGCCCAAUCUAUGGGGCUGGGACCCACAUCUAUGGGGCUGGGACCCCAAAGUGGGGGCUGGGAGCCCAGAGUGGGGGAUGGGAUCCACAUCUAUGGGGCUGGGACUCCAAUCUAUGGGGCUGGGAACCCAGAGGUGGGGUGGGAGCACAAAGUGGGGGCUGGGACCCACAUCUAUGGGGCUGGGACCCCAAAGUGGGGGCUGGGAACCCAGAGGUGGGGUGGGGGCACAACGUGGGGGAUGGGAGCCAAUCUAUGGGGCUGGGAGCCCAAAGUGGGGGCUGGGACCCACAUCUAUGGGGCAGGAUCCCACAUCUAUGCGGCAGGGACCCCCACCUAUGGGGCAGAGUCCCACCCGACGGCUCUGUGCCCCACAUCUAUGGGGCAGGGACCCCCAUCUAUGGGGCUGGGACCCACAUCUAUGGGGCAGGAUCCCACCCAAUGGCUCUGUGCCUCCAUCUAUGGGGCAGGAUCCCCACAUCUAUGGGGCAGAUUCCCACCCAAUGGCUCUGUGCCCCACAUCUAUGGGGCAGGAUCCCCAGCUAUGGGGCAGGACCCCCACUUAUGGGGCAGGACCCCCACCUAUGGGGCAGGACCCCCACUUGUGGGGCAGGGACCCCCAUCUAUGGGGCAGACCCCCACUUAUGGGGCAGGACCCCCACUUGUGGGACAGGGACCCCCAUCUAUGGGGCAGACCCCCACUUAUGGGGCAGGACCCCCAUCUACGAGCCUGGAACCCCCACUUAUGGGGCAGGCCCCCCACUUAUGGGGCAGGACCCCCAUCUAUGGGGCAGGAUCCCACAUCUAUGAACCUGGGACCCCCAUCUAUGGGGCAGACCCCCACUUAUGGGGCAGGACCCCCACGUGUGGGGCGGCCGUACCGAACAGCACCAUGUAGCGGCCGAUGCGUUCGGCGCUGUGGAAGCCGGUAGGGGGCGCCGCUCCGGAAGCGCCGUCCCGGAAGCGCAGGGAGCUCCAAUGGCGCCGGGUCACGUGGUACAGAUCCGUGCUGUUCGUGCGGGAGCUGAACCUGAAGGGCGGCACGGCGCACAGCACGCAGGGUCACGUGGGGACCAUAGAGACACCAUAGAGAGCGUAGGAGGGCCAGAGAGCGGACAUAGAGCGGCCACAGGGAUACGUGGGGACCAUAGAGAGGACGUAGAGUGGUCGUAGAGUGGCCAUAGGGAGGCCAUAGGGAUACACGGAGACCAUAGAGAGCGUAGGAGGGCCAGAGAGGGGACAUAGAGCGGCCAUAGGGAUACGUGGGGACCAUAGAGAGGAUAUGGAGUGGCCAUAGAAGGGCCAUAGAGGGGCCACAGGGAUACGUGGGGACCAUAGAGAGGACAUAGAGAGCCAUAAGGAGGACACAGACAGCAUAGAGAGGCCAUAGAGAGGCCAUAAGAAUACAUGGAGACCAUAGAGAGGACAUAGAGUGCCCAUAGAGUGCCAUAGAGAGACCAUAGGGAUACAUGGAGGCCAUAGAGAGGACAUAGAGAGCAUGGAGAGACCAUAGAGUGGCCAUAGGGAGGCCAUAGGGAUACAUGGAGACCAUAGAGAGCGUAGGAGGGCCAGAGAGCGGACAUAGAGCGGCCACAGGGAUACGUGGGGACCAUAGAGAGGACAUAGAGAGACGAUAGAGGGGCCUUAGGGAUACGUGGAGACCAUAGAGAGGCACAGAGAGGCCAUAGAGACCCCAUAGCGACCCACAGAGACCCCAUCAGUCAGUCCCCCAGCUCCCCAAGUUUCCCCCCAGCCCCACAACUCAGCCCCAAAACCCCCCAGCCCCAUAACUCAGUCCCAAACGCCCCCUCCAACCCUAUAAUCCAGCCCCAC